AGAGCGAACGCUGGCGGCAGGCCUAACACAUGCAAGUCGAACGAACUCUUCGGAGUUAGUGGCGGACGGGUGAGUAACACGUGGGAACGUGCCUUUAGGUUCGGAAUAACUCAGGGAAACUUGUGCUAAUACCGAAUGUGCCCUUCGGGGGAAAGAUUUAUCGCCUUUAGAGCGGCCCGCGUCUGAUUAGCUAGUUGGUGAGGUAAUGGCUCACCAAGGCGACGAUCAGUAGCUGGUCUGAGAGGAUGAUCAGCCACAUUGGGACUGAGACACGGCCCAAACUCCUACGGGAGGCAGCAGUGGGGAAUCUUGCGCAAUGGGCGAAAGCCUGACGCAGCCAUGCCGCGUGAAUGAUGAAGGUCUUAGGAUUGUAAAAUUCUUUCACCGGGGACGAUAAUGACGGUACCCGGAGAAGAAGCCCCGGCUAACUUCGUGCCAGCAGCCGCGGUAAUACGAAGGGGGCUAGCGUUGCUCGGAAUUACUGGGCGUAAAGGGAGCGUAGGCGGACAUUUAAGUCAGGGGUGAAAUCCCGGGGCUCAACCUCGGAAUUGCCUUUGAUACUGGGUGUCUUGAGUAUGAGAGAGGUGUGUGGAACUCCGAGUGUAGAGGUGAAAUUCGUAGAUAUUCGGAAGAACACCAGUGGCGAAGGCGACACACUGGCUCAUUACUGACGCUGAGGCUCGAAAGCGUGGGGAGCAAACAGGAUUAGAUACCCUGGUAGUCCACGCCGUAAACGAUGAUUGCUAGUUGUCGGGAUGCAUGCAUUUCGGUGACGCAGCUAACGCAUUAAGCAAUCCGCC
This 800-nucleotide ribosomal RNA is filed under the name Brevundimonas sp. M_Sw_oHS_11/10_3_2(2). RNAcentral describes it as "bacterial SSU rRNA". It matches the Rfam family "Bacterial small subunit ribosomal RNA", at positions 26 to 873 of the family's 1533-position model. The record is from RNAcentral. Lineage: Bacteria; Pseudomonadati; Pseudomonadota; Alphaproteobacteria; Caulobacterales; Caulobacteraceae.